RNAcentral lists this ribosomal RNA (497 nucleotides) under uncultured bacterium. RNAcentral describes it as "partial 16S ribosomal RNA". It matches the Rfam family "Bacterial small subunit ribosomal RNA", at positions 28 to 507 of the family's 1533-position model. The record is from RNAcentral.
GAUGAACGCUGGCGGCGUGCCUAAUACAUGCAAGUCGAGCGAACGGACGAGAAGCUUGCUCCUCUGCUGUUAGCGGCGGACGGGUGAGUAACACGUGGAUAACCUACCUAUAAGACUGGGAUAAUAUCGGGAAACCGUAGCUAAUACCGGAUAAUAUUUUGAACCGCAUGGUUCAAAAGUUAAAGACGGUCUUGCUGUCACUUAUAGAUGGAUCCGCGCUGCAUUAGCUAGUUGGUAAGGUAACGGCUUACCAAGGCGACGAUGCAUAGCCGACCUGAGAGGAUGAUCGGCCACACUGGAACUGAGACACGGUCCAGACUCCUACGGGAGGCAGCAGUAGGGAAUCUUCGGCAAUGGGCGAAAGCCUGAUGAAGCAACGCCGCGUGAGUGAUGAAGGUCUUCGGGUCGUAAAACUCUGUUAUUAGGAAAGAACAUAAGUGUAAGUAACUAUGGACGUCUUGACGGUACCUAAACAGAAAGCCACGGCUAACUACGUG